Molecule: ribosomal RNA, 216 nt
Filed under: uncultured bacterium
Lineage: Bacteria
Description: partial 16S ribosomal RNA
Rfam family: Bacterial small subunit ribosomal RNA
Source: RNAcentral
UACGGAGGGUGCGAGCGUUGUCCGGAAUCACUGGGCGUAAAGGGCGCGUAGGCGGCGCGGAUAGUCGGCGGUGAAAGCCCGGAGCUCAACUCCGGGUCGGCCGUCGAUACUUCCGGGCUUGAGCACUGUAGAGGCAGAUGGAAUUCCGGGUGUAGCGGUGGAAUGCGUAGAGAUCCGGAAGAACACCGGUGGCGAAGGCGGUCUGCGUGGGCAGUU